GUCCAGGGAUGGGAAUCGAACCCACAGUGUUCUGCUUACCGGACAGAUGCCAUGUCCACUAGGCUACCCUGGA
This 73-nucleotide transfer RNA is filed under the name Cordylochernes scorpioides. Its description in RNAcentral is "tRNA-Thr". The record is from RNAcentral. Lineage: Eukaryota; Metazoa; Arthropoda; Arachnida; Pseudoscorpiones; Chernetidae.